Molecule: ribosomal RNA, 253 nt
Filed under: uncultured bacterium
Lineage: Bacteria
Description: partial 16S ribosomal RNA
Rfam family: Bacterial small subunit ribosomal RNA
Source: RNAcentral
AACGUAGGUUCCGAGCGUUAUCCGGAUUUACUGGGCGUAAAGCGCGUUCAGGCGGUUUGGCAAGUCGGGCAUGAAAUCUCUCGGCUCAACCGGGAGAGGUUGUCCGAUACUUCCAGACUUGAGGGCAGUAGAGGGUGGUGGAAUUCCGGGUGUAGUGGUGAAAUGCGUAGAUAUCCGGAGGAACACCAGUGGCGAAAGCGGCCACCUGGACUGCACCUGACGCUGACACGCGAAAGCUAGGGGAGCGAACAGG